UAUUGAACCAAUUGGUCUUUCUAUAAAAAAAAUGUUCACACACUCCGAUGUAUUUCUCCCACUUUGCUCCAUUCUUGGAUACGACUAUUUCCAUUUCUCCGCAUGUACAUCCCACCAGAAACACAAAUAGGUAAAAGUUUGAUGAUAGUCUCCAUCUUCUUCUUUUUGAAGAAAAAAUUGUGCUCAUCUUUCUUCACUACUUCUCUGUCCAAUCUUCAUAUGCGCACCUCGCUUGCAAUACCUUCUUUCUUGUGUGUGCAUUUCUUCCAACUGCAAAGAAUUGUUACAGAGCUCUUGUUGUUUGCUACAAGACAUGAUACACGUGAAGGGGAAACAUUAAUAUAUGUAAUCAAGGAGGACUUGUGAUAUAUCCUUGCAACCCACACUAAGUAAUCUGUAUUAUUAAAGAGCAAUCAAAUUUGCCUCAUGCUUCACGUCAACCCAUGCCUCAGCGGGGAUGAAGGGUUUAGGAAGAACUUUAAAAUGUAAACAUAAGUGUAUCGACCAUGCUUAGAGAUUUCAAGACAAAGUUAUAAACAAGCUUAUAUUAAAAAAUAAGUUUUGAACAUGUUAGAGNNNN
RNAcentral lists this long non-coding RNA (580 nucleotides) under Hordeum vulgare. RNAcentral describes it as "long non-coding RNA (HVUL_LNC009471)". Lineage: Eukaryota; Viridiplantae; Streptophyta; Magnoliopsida; Poales; Poaceae. The record is from RNAcentral.